Megalobrama amblycephala (Wuchang bream) is the source of this 405-nucleotide non-coding RNA. NCBI's taxonomy places the organism in Eukaryota, Metazoa, Chordata, Actinopteri, Cypriniformes, Xenocyprididae. The record is from the annotation of a RefSeq genome assembly.
AUGACCUUCAUCAUCAUCUUCAUCUGGACUCUCACAGCGUUUGCUCAAGAGUGUAGAGGACAGAUCACCGUCACUCAGAGUCCCUCAAUGACAGCAGCUCAACCAGGACAAACUGUGAACAUCAACUGUAGAACCAGCAGUAAUGUGUAUUAUCAUAGUUCUUAUGGACAUUAUUUAGCCUGGUACUUACAGAAACCCGGAGAAGCUCCUAAACUCCUGAUUUAUUAUGCAAGCACCCUCCAGUCAGGAACUCCAUCUAGAUUCAGUGGCAGUGGAUCUAACAGUGAUUUCACUCUGACCAUCAGUGGAGUCCAGACUGAAGAUGCUGGACAUUAUUACUGUCAGAGUUUCUACUAUCCUGGGAGCAUUCGGUGGUUCACACAGUGAUAAAGAGUCGUACAAAAA